GAUGAACGCUCGCUACAGGCUUAACACAUGCAAGUCGCGGGGCAGCAUGGGGGUUGCUUGCAAUCCCCGAUGGCGACCGGCGCACGGGUGAGUAACGCGUAUCCAACCUGCCCUUCACCACGGGAUAACCCGGCGAAAGUCGGACUAAUACCGUAUGUUGUCCAUUGACGGCAUCCGAUUUGGACGAAAGGGUUGGCGGUGAAGGAUGGGGAUGCGUCCGAUUAGCUGGACGGCGGGGUGACGGCCCACCGGGGCGACGAUCGGUAGGGGUUCUGAGAGGAAGGUCCCCCACACUGGAACUGAGACACGGUCCAGACUCCUACGGGAGGCAGCAGUGAGGAAUAUUGGUCAAUGGGCGUAAGCCUGAACCAGCCAAGUAGCGUGCAGGAUGACGGCCCUAUGGGUUGUAAACUGCUUUUAUGCGGGGAUAAAGUGGCCCACGUGUGGGUUUUUGCAGGUACCGCAUGAAUAAGGACCGGCUAAUUCCGUG
Molecule: ribosomal RNA, 490 nt
Filed under: uncultured bacterium
Lineage: Bacteria
Description: partial 16S ribosomal RNA
Rfam family: Bacterial small subunit ribosomal RNA
Source: RNAcentral